This 1621-nucleotide unclassified non-coding RNA is filed under the name Amphibalanus amphitrite. RNAcentral describes it as "uncharacterized protein C7orf26 homolog, transcript variant X1". The record is from RNAcentral. Lineage: Eukaryota; Metazoa; Arthropoda; Thecostraca; Balanomorpha; Balanidae.
ACAGGGCCCAUGAGUUUCCCCUUUUCGUGUGUGUUACUUUGACAGAGGCGGGGGAGGGUGAAUCAAAAAUUGCAAGACGCUUCGGUUUUAGGUUUCAAUACAAUUUCCAGGUUGUUCGUGUUGCUGGCUGCAAGAUGCAUUCCAGACGUUCAGGGAGCCCAAAUAUGGACCCGCUUCAAGCCAUGAGGCGGAUGGACUUCCCUUACUGUGUCCAUGAAGCUCUGAAAAAGCUUGACCAGAUAGUACACCAGGAACCAACGCGACUGCGACCCAUUCAGCCGUUCGUACAGCUCCUUAUCAACGAGUUCAUCAUCUUUGACGGCACCGGUAACAGCAAGUUCAGGAGGAAUCUUAACAACGUACAGAACCUACAGCUGCUUGAGGUUCUGGGCGACUACUUCAGCCUGCCAAACUCGGAAGCAGCGCGCGUCAUGGCGUUCAUGGUGCUCUUCCAGCCGGUUCCAGGUCCGGAGGGGGCCGCCGGACGGCGCGUGUCGCUGCUGUGUAGACUUGUGUCGCUGGCUGUGUCCACUCGUAACAGCCAGGUGCUCUCCUGUGCCGGCGCCUGGUUACUGCAGCAGGGCUGCACAUCAGCCGCCGCACUGCGGCUGGCCGAGUCACUCCUGGAGGACCACCUGCUGCCCCUGCCCCCUCCUCCCUCCGACUCCGGAGAGGAGACGCCCGACCCUCCGGCGGCUGACAGUCUGCCGGAGCUGGCGCCCCUGUUCACUGCCGGGCUGCUGACGGCGCUGACACAUCUCUAUAGGGAUCUGCGCAGCCGACCGCCGCCGCCGGAGCUUAUUUCGCAGGUGCUCCGCUGGCUGGAAUCGAGUCCCUCCCUGCCUCUGGUCCCUCUCUCCGGGACCGGCCCCGUGCCUCUGCCCAGCUCCGCGCCACCGCCGGCCGCCGCCUGUCCCGCCGCUGGACUGAUGACGUGGUCGGUACUGUCGGCUGCCGUGGGACCGUCCCAGACGGUGAAAGGAAACGAUCAGAUGGCGAGACUGCACCUGCUGCUGCUCACGUGUCUACUGGAGGUGCCCCGGCUGCGCCCCCAGUCGGGCGGCCGUCCCGCCCUGCUCACCCACGGCCAGCUGACGCGACUGGUCACUGCGCUGGAGGCGGCGGGUCUCGGUGCCGACCAGCCCCCGGCGCCCCACCACCAGCUGGCGCUGGACAGAAUGGCACAGCUGUUCCAGGUGGCGCUGGCCGUCGAGGGACUCGGACAUAAUAAACGCGAGAGUCUACAGCAGCUAAGUCGACUACGGCAAACACCUCUCAUCCGUAUCGUGCUACAGCACAAUAGCUAACCAAAGCGCCCUCCCGACGGAUCUGUCGACCAGCCACAACUCAUCCACUUGGAGACUACGGUAUCGAAGAGGGAAAAAUCGUUUCUCAGCAUCACUUCAGCGACCAAAGCACCGUCUGUUGUCUUCAAGAGACCUAUGCGACCCUCAAAACUGCAGAUCUGGCCAAUUGAGAACAUGUGAAGUAAAGGAAGAGCAGUAAUGAGUGAGUUCCGCUGAUCUGGGCAAGCUGGUCAAGCAAACGACACUUCGGCGACAGCCCACGAGUUUCUGACCCUCGGUCUCAUAAAAACAUGUAACGGAAAUCCGUCCAUCUA